GUUCAAAAACUAAGCUACCUCUCUCUCUCUCUCUCUCUCUCUCUCUCUGUGUGUGUGUGUGUGUAUGUGAGAGAGAAAGAGAGAGAGAGAGAGAGAGAGAGAGAGAGAGAGAGAUCAAAUUUAUUU
This 126-nucleotide microRNA precursor is filed under the name Podarcis lilfordi (Lilford's wall lizard). Lineage: Eukaryota; Metazoa; Chordata; Lepidosauria; Squamata; Lacertidae. The record is from RNAcentral.